CCUUUGGAUACAAGUGCGAUGGAUGUUAUAACUAACUUUUGUCUUUGUUUAUGUACAUGUACAUUUACAUUGUUGUAAUUCUUGCAUUUUAUACAUGAAAAAGUAAUGAAAAUAAUACAGUAGCCAUAUGAGGAGUUAAGAUAAUCUCCCUGAGAGGAAGGGCAUGGAGUAAACAAAAGUUUACCAAAAUUUGUACCAAAGAUCGCUUGUAGGAGAUAUGUUCUUUAGGAUGACUCAUGACAUGCAUGUUUGUGUCGCUGAUUGUUAUGGAAUUAGAGACUUUUUGUGGUGUGAUGUGCCAAUUUACUUAUUCAACAUUGUUUAACAAUUUCUAAUUACGAGUCUUUAAUAUUCAGAACUUUUUUCUACUUAUUAUUUUUAGACUUUUCAUGUAGCUUUAGUGACUGCUUUUGUUUUCUAUGAGUUUUUUUUUCUCUUACCAAUAUAUUCGGGUGCAAAUGAUUGUUUUAAAAGAACAGUGUGUGGAUGGGGAAGCGUCAGACGUGGCGGUUCUCAUUUCCCUUCUUGAGAGCCAUUCUUGACGUCUCGGGAGGAGAGAGAUUCUUUUCUUGGUAGGUUCUUGACGGCUGACUCUAUAUGUUGGAUAGGCUGUCCGGAUUUUGCCUUCGUUAGUUGGUCCUUUCUGUUGCAUUCUGUGUUGGAAGACUUGGAUCACCUUCUUGGGCAUUCUGCGCUGGCGAGUGGCAUUUGGGAUGCUUUUCUUCAGACUUUUGGCUUGUUGUAUGCUCGUCAUAGAGAUGUUAGAGGGAUGAUCGAGGAGUUCCUCCUCAAUCUGCCUUGUGGGGAAAGAGGCCGGUUCCUUUGGCGUGCUUGUGUUUGUGCCAUCUUGUGGGUUUUGUGGGAUGAGACAAAUAGGAGGGUGUUUUGGGGAGUUGAAAGGGGGACUGGGGAGAUUUGGUUGGUUAUUCGGUAUCAUGUUUCUCUUUGGGAUUCGAUUUCGAAGACUUUUUGUAAUUACCCUCUUGACAUGAUUUUGUAUAGUUGGGCCACCUUUGUGUAGUGGGGGUCCCUUGUGUUUUGCGGGCUUGGUUUUUGUGCGCCCGUGUAUUCUUUCAUUUUUUUUCAAUGAAAGCCGUCUAUUUCUAUAAUUUUUUUUUGUAUGAAAAGUCAAAUAUCUUGUCCAGUUCUCUAUCUUGUAGUUUUGUUCUUUAGGUUGAUUUCAACUUAUUGUUGCACCUUUCUUUGCUAUCGUCACACCCACGGGCAUUGUUCCACCUUCUGUUCUAGUAAUGAACACGUGAGGUCAACUACUAUUAUUUCCUAAUUUGUACUUGU
RNA transcript from Cucumis melo (muskmelon), 1296 nucleotides. RefSeq lists it as uncharacterized. The transcript is spliced from 2 exons. Lineage: Eukaryota; Viridiplantae; Streptophyta; Magnoliopsida; Cucurbitales; Cucurbitaceae. The record is from RefSeq and is a predicted model, not a curated record.